Molecule: ribosomal RNA, 495 nt
Filed under: uncultured bacterium
Lineage: Bacteria
Description: partial 16S ribosomal RNA
Rfam family: Bacterial small subunit ribosomal RNA
Source: RNAcentral
AUGAACGCUGGCGGCGUGCCUAAUACAUGCAAGUCGAGCGAACGGACGAGAAGCUUGCUUCUCUGAUGUUAGCGGCGGACGGGUGAGUAACACGUGGAUAACCUACCUAUAAGACUGGGAUAACUUCGGGAAACCGGAGCUAAUACCGGAUAAUAUUUUGAACCGCAUGGUUCAAAAGUGAAAGACGGUCUUGCUGUCACUUAUAGAUGGAUCCGCGCUGCAUUAGCUAGUUGGUAAGGUAACGGCUUACCAAGGCAACGAUGCAUAGCCGACCUGAGAGGGUGAUCGGCCACGCUGGAACUGAGACACGGUCCAGACUCCUACGGGAGGCAGCAGUAGGGAAUCUUCCGCAAUGGGCGAAAGCCUGACGGAGCAACGCCGCGUGAGUGAUGAAGGUCUUCGGAUCGUAAAACUCUGUUAUUAGGGAAGAACAGAUGUGUAAGUAACUGUGCACAUCUUGACGGUACCUAAUCAGAAAGCCACGGCUAACUACGU